Electrophorus electricus (electric eel) is the source of this 67-nucleotide small nucleolar RNA. Lineage: Eukaryota; Metazoa; Chordata; Actinopteri; Gymnotiformes; Gymnotidae. The record is from Ensembl.
AGCCUGUGAUGAGGAAAGAAUAAGAGUAGUGGACAGAACUGGUUUCUGAGACCUUUAUUCUGAGGCU